RNA transcript from Hylaeus volcanicus, 1389 nucleotides. It is a transcript of the gene named trafficking protein particle complex subunit 6B-like, with no coding region annotated. The record is from RefSeq and is a predicted model, not a curated record. Lineage: Eukaryota; Metazoa; Arthropoda; Insecta; Hymenoptera; Colletidae. The transcript has 6 exons.
AUUCAUUCACAUAUAAUACGACAAUAUCAUAUGAACGCGAUUUUCGCACUACGUGCGUUCUGAAAAAUAAAAAAAAGUAUAAUUUAUGUUUUAGUGACUUUUUUUUAUUGAUAAUCCAAUUACAGUUCGUGUAUUAAACCAUGUGAACAUUUUAAAAAAAGCAAGAAGAACGGAAAUAUGUAAAAAAUCAUACGUAGCUGAAUAACAAAAAUUGCUCUCGACUUAAUACAAUGACCAGCUCUUAAAUAAAGAAUACAUGCAACUUUUUGAAACUUCUAACAGAAAUUUUUUAAAAAAAUCCUAAUUUGCUAUUUUCUUCUGAAAUCUGGAAUGUUUUAUACAGUUUCUCCUUUAUUAUCAAAAAAUUUUCGAAAAAGUAAUUAAACUGUAGAACAGAUUUGUUAAGAAUCUAGGUAAAAAUAGAAGACACUAAAACGAAUGAUAUUCUUUGUUUUUAUUCUGUUUAAUCAAUAUGUCAAAGUGUUCUAGCUGGAAUUCUUUUUGACUUCUCAUUCAUUUCUUCCGCUUUGAAAAGUAGCUUUUCAUAUACAAUUUCGUAUAGGGUAUGCGAAAAACAUGUUUUUUUUGUUUUAAUCAAAAUGCAAACACCUAUUGAGUCUCCAAAAACAACAAAUGAUUCUUUUCUUGCUGUUAAAAAAAACGAAGAUAGUAGAAGAAAACUAUCUGAAACAUUUUAUUAUUUUCUUUUACAUGAAAUUAUAAAGUACACAUAUCAAGCAUUGUCUCAAUCUAUUAAUAUAGAUAAAAAAUUAGUUGCUAAUCAAUGUCGUUUGUUUUUUGAAAAGUUCGGUUUCACUAUUGGGGUUAAAAUACAUGAAAGACUAAGUAUACAAAAGCAACGCAUUUGUAAACCCGAAGAUUGUCUUAAAUUUGUGUGUAAGAACUUGUGGGAUUUUCUUUUUUUCAAACAGGCGGAUAGACUUCAAACGAAUCGUAAAGCAGAAUUCAUGAUUAUGGACAAAAAUUUGCCACCCCUUCGCUAUGGUAUUCAACCACCUACAGCUCAAUAUCAACUCUUUUGUUAUUCUUCUAAAGCAUCCUUGCCAUUUUUUUGUGGUAUUAUACGCGGUGUUCUUACAAAUCUCAACUUACCUAAUUGUGUCACGGCGGAUGCCAGGAAUCCUCCAACGUGUUAUUUUCAUAUUCAUUUAACGUAAUUUUUUUUUUGAAGUUUUUUUGCUAAAAAAAAAAAAAGACUUUUCUACAAUAAUAUUCGUUUACCUCAAUUUCUUGGACUAAAAAAUUUUCAAAAACGUUUCAAGAACUUUUGAAUAAGUAUAAAAAACAAAAUGAGAAAACUCAUUUUCUUUUAUAACAGAAAGAGUUAUUCUAACACGAUAAUAAUUAAGAUAAGUGUAUAACUUUUUU